AGAACGAACGCUGGCGGCAGGCCUAACACAUGCAAGUCGAACGCUCGUAGCAAUACGGGAGUGGCAGACGGGUGAGUAACGCGUGGGAACGUACCCUUCGGUUCGGAAUAACCCGGGGAAACUCGGGCUAAUACCGGAUACGUCCGCAAGGAGAAAGAUUUAUCGCCGAAGGAUCGGCCCGCGUCCGAUUAGCUAGUUGGUGGGGUAAUGGCCCACCAAGGCGACGAUCGGUAGCUGGUCUGAGAGGAUGAUCAGCCACACUGGGACUGAGACACGGCCCAGACUCCUACGGGAGGCAGCAGUGGGGAAUAUUGGACAAUGGGCGCAAGCCUGAUCCAGCCAUGCCGCGUGAGUGAAGAAGGCCCUAGGGUUGUAAAGCUCUUUCAGCGGGGAAGAUAAUGACGGUACCCGCAGAAGAAGCCCCGGCUAACUUCGUGCCAGCAGCCGC
Molecule: ribosomal RNA, 448 nt
Filed under: uncultured bacterium
Lineage: Bacteria
Description: SSU rRNA
Rfam family: Bacterial small subunit ribosomal RNA
Source: RNAcentral